RNAcentral lists this ribosomal RNA (146 nucleotides) under uncultured fungus. Its description in RNAcentral is "partial 26S ribosomal RNA". The stretch from base 90 to 146 matches the Rfam family "Eukaryotic large subunit ribosomal RNA", at positions 1 to 57 of the family's 3401-position model. The record is from RNAcentral. Lineage: Eukaryota; Fungi.
CUGACCUCAAAUCAGGUAGGACUACCCGCUGAACUUAAGCAUAUCAAAAGCCGGAGGAAUACGCCCUUGUGUGCAUAAUUCUAGACAUAUGGCCUCAAAUCAGGUAGGACUACCCGCUGAACUUAAGCAUAUCAAUAAGCGGAGGA